GAUGAACGCUGGCGGCGUGCCUAAUACAUGCAAGUCGAGCGAACAGACGAGAAGCUUGCUCCUCUGACGUUAGCGGCGGACGGGUGAGUAACACGUGGAUAACCUACCUAUAAGACUGGGAUAACUUCGGGAAACCGGAGCUAAUACCGGAUAAUAUAUUGAACCGCAUGGUUCAAUAGUGAAAGACGGUCUUGCUGUCACUUAUAGAUGGAUCCGCGCCGCAUUAGCUAGUUGGUAAGGUAACGGCUUACCAAGGCAACGAUGCGUAGCCGACCUGAGAGGGUGAUCGGCCACACUGGAACUGAGACACGGUCCAGACUCCUACGGGAGGCAGCAGUAGGGAAUCUUCCGCAAUGGGCGAAAGCCUGACGGAGCAACGCCGCGUGAGUGAUGAAGGUCUUCGGAUCGUAAAACUCUGUUAUUAGGGAAGAACAAAUGUGUAAGUAACUAUGCACGUCUUGACGGUACCUAAUCAGAAAGCCACGGCUAACUACGUG
This 497-nucleotide ribosomal RNA is filed under the name uncultured bacterium. Its description in RNAcentral is "partial 16S ribosomal RNA". It matches the Rfam family "Bacterial small subunit ribosomal RNA", at positions 28 to 507 of the family's 1533-position model. The record is from RNAcentral.